UUCCGAUUACCCCCCCCCCCCAAAAUGUUUGCCCUACCCUCACCCUUUACCCCAAAAUCUAGAAAAUCCCUAAAGUAAACCAUCUUCCUCUUCAUCACUCAUCAGUUUCUGAAAAUUGAAAUCCCUCUCCCGUUCAGCCGUCCCUCACCCAUCUCCGGUUAAACCAUCCUUCUUCGUCAUUUUAUGGAACUUUCCUGAAAAUUGUUUGUUCAUUAGUUUUUGCUUGCUCGGCGUCGCAUCGAAACAACUCAAGUUCAGGUUUUUCUGUUUUCUUUUUCCGGUAAUUUUGUUCUUAAUGAUAUUUUAAUCCAAAACCUUUUUCAUUUAAAAUUUUUUUAGUGAAAAAUAUUUUGGAUAUAGUGUAAAAUGGUAUUGAGUCUGAAGAAUAUACAUGCGUGGUGGAUUUGAAAUAUUAAGGGAAAAACCCAAAUCUUUGCACCCAUAAAGCAAGAUAUUUGCAAUUGUGGUGUUUGGUUUGUUCAUGAGAACAGUAUCAUAGUUUUUCAUCAUUUCUUUUAAGGAGUUAGUUGAUGAUACAACUAAGGUUGGAUUUUGACCUAAUUUCAGAAACAUUAAUGACCUAUAUUUGAGUGAAAGGUUCUGAAAGGAUCGAUGGGGGAGUUUCACAAGUUUAAAAAGGUGGCCAAUGAUUGGUAACUUUGGGGGAGAAUGAGUUACAUUAUGUAAUUUGUGUUUUGGUAGUUUAAGCCAAAGUAAAAAAAAAAAAAAAACGAGAGAAAGAAAAUAAAGAGUAUGAAAGAGAGAAACAAUGGGUUGUAAAGUUUAAUUUCAUUGAUGAGCUCUAUUAAUGGUGGUAUCUCCAAUCUUUUGCAGAUUAAAUUAUGAACUAAAUAAGAAAAACUCAUAUUGAGCAUUUUUAUUUAUUUUCUUAUUUUUUUUUUGCAAUAUAAAAUUCCAUCAAUUGAGCAUGACUUCGAUAUUUUUAGAUUUUUUAUUUGUUUCAAGUGGAGUCAGGUUUAACCUGAAAGCAAGAGUUAAAGUAUCAAUUCUAUCUUAAAUGGUGCAUGUUAAAACAAUCUAGCAAACAUAAACAUUUGAUGUUUGUGAUGGGUGUCAGUUAAAGCUUCAAUUCUAUCUUUAAUGGUGCAUUUUCUUUUAAUUAUUAUUUAAGAAUUUUAUUUUUAUCGACAAGUUGGAUUUAGAGAGAUGUUACCAUUACUACGAAUCAGUUUUGGGAUAAAGGAAUUUGGUUUUCAACAAUUAUUUGGACUGUUGCAUAUUUUUAAUUUCUUGGAGUGGUAGCAGUGUAUUGAGAAAUGCAUUGGUUCCCCCGAAAUGAAGUUGAAUUUGUAGUUUGAAGUGACAAAUUGAUGCAUAUUACUCUACCCUUAGUCAUAGUGAAAGCUUGAAUUAAGGUUUUUAAGGUCGACAGACAUGAUUAAGCUUUUAUUCAAACAAAUAUAUUCGAUUCGAUUCGAAUUUCAUUUCACUCGACUCGAUUUGAGAAAAUUUUAAAUCGAGUUAGGAUGAUAAAAUAGAAUUCGUCAACUUGAUUAACUCAGAAUUUUUUCAUUCGAUUCGAUUCCAACGAACACUCACCCCUAAUGAGUAGCAUUGAGUAAAGCUUGUAUAGUAACCCUGAUCUGAAACUUGUGUGAGCAGCCGAAAUAUGAAAACAAUAGCUAAACGAAAAUGAAAUGGUUGAAAAUAUUGAAUAUGAAAUUAAUGGUUAAGUUUACAAAAUGAGCAAAGUUGAAUCGCAUGAUAAUAACGAUAUGGUAGUACUUGCUUAUGAAUUGAGAAUUAUAAUCUUGUAGUAUUAAUGAACUAAUCUCUUAGUCGUCUUUUGAAAUUAUAUAUGUCAUGCUAUGCUCAAAUGCGUUUCAAUUACUUAAACUAAUUGUAGUGUCAAGGUAAGUUGAUUUUCAUAUGGACUUACUAAGCAUUUUUUAUGCUUAACCGUUGAUUUCUUUUCUCCCUGUAGAUUGAUAAUUGCUGAACGUGUUGGUCAAAUCAACUUGAGAAUCACGCUAUCCUACUUUUGACUUGAUAGUCCUUUGAUCAUUUUUAGUUCGUUUAUAUGGCAUGUACAUAGGUGUUUAUCUAAGUAUUACUUGUGAAUGAUGAUUGGUUUAAUUCUAAUUUAAUACUUGAUCUUGUAAAGUUAUUAUGCAUAUAUGCAAUAGUACAUGUCUUGGUAAAUUUUAGUGAGCUUAAUGAUGGUAUUAGAUGAUUUAUAACCUUGUUAGUAAGUUUGGUAUACUUUGUUGUGAAAUGGUGUCAAAUUGUCGCAUAUUGGUUUAGUUGAUAUUAGGAAUGUAUGAAUGAAUGUUAGGUGUGUGUUUUGAAUUGGUUUUAUACAGGUUUUGUCUGUGUUUAUAUGUACUAAGUGAGUACAAUUUGGUUUAGGCAUGAAUAGGAUACCAAAAUUGGAGAUUUUUUUACCAUUUUUGCCUUUGGGUGUUGAUACCUUAGGAAGGGUAUCGAUACUUUAACAAAUUUUCUUAAUUUCUAAAACUUCGAAUACAAAAACGAUAUUGAUACCGGACUAAAGUAUCAGUACUCUAUAUCAAAGUACUGACACUUUACAAGGGUAUCGAUACACUGGAUUUUGCCUUAUUUUUGCAAAAAGAAACAAAUUCGCAAAUUUGUAUCGAUACUAGAAUAAGUAUCGGUACUUUAUAAAGGAAGUAUCGGUACCAUAUUUUAGGUAUCGAUACUAUUGAGUUUUUAUAUAUUUUUGUAAAAUAUCAAAGUUAAAAAUGGAAUCAGUACUUCUUAUGAAAACUUUAAAAAUUUUACAUUUUGGUCCUUUUUCAUGUUUUGUUUAGCAAAUGAGCUUUUGUAAGCUCGAUCAAGUCCCGG
RNAcentral lists this long non-coding RNA (2826 nucleotides) under Gossypium barbadense (sea-island cotton). RNAcentral describes it as "long non-coding RNA (GBAR_LNC015747)". Lineage: Eukaryota; Viridiplantae; Streptophyta; Magnoliopsida; Malvales; Malvaceae. The record is from RNAcentral.